RNAcentral lists this long non-coding RNA (205 nucleotides) under Prunus persica (peach). RNAcentral's name for it is "long non-coding RNA (PPER_LNC000833)". The record is from RNAcentral. Lineage: Eukaryota; Viridiplantae; Streptophyta; Magnoliopsida; Rosales; Rosaceae.
UUCAAUUCUCUUGGCUUCGAUUUAGUUCUUUCUUUAGCAAAGCGAUGACAUCUUCUUGGGUGACAAAAGAUGGUACCUUUUGUUUAGACCCCUUUUUGGUAGCAACAGACUCCUUUUGUGGAAGUCUCUCGUUUUCUUUGAUUGGCUUAGCAAUUGAACUUUUCAGCUCUUUGAUCAUGUCUGCCAUCUCCCUCUAGGUUUCCCC